RNAcentral lists this ribosomal RNA (235 nucleotides) under uncultured bacterium. RNAcentral describes it as "partial 16S ribosomal RNA". It matches the Rfam family "Bacterial small subunit ribosomal RNA", at positions 118 to 353 of the family's 1533-position model. The record is from RNAcentral.
UGAGCAAUCUGCCCUUCUCUUUGGAAUAAGCGUUGGAAACGACGUCUAAUGCCGAAUACGACCUCCUUUCGCAUGAUCGGAGGUGGAAAGCUCCGGCGGAGAAGGAUGAGCUCGCGGCCUAUCAGCUAGUUGGUGUGGGUAAUGGCCCACCAAGGCGACGACGGGUAGCCGGCCUGAGAGGGUGACCGGCCACACUGGGACUGAGACACGGCCCAGACUCCUACGGGAGACAGCG